CUCGGGUAUAAAAAACGACUGCAUGCUCUCUGUUUUUGAGUUAUAGGAAGUCGACCGGGUUUUAAAUUGCGACAGCUCAAAAGAGAAGUUGGUUUGUAAAACUUCAGGAUUAUUUUCACUUCAAACCAUCCAAAGGGUUUAACAGUCGCUCUUUUCUGUUUUGUAAAAGUUGCGGCAUUAUUGUGUUUGCAAAUCCAGGUGAAGAGUUUCAUGGCAGUCCAGUCUGUGAGACUUGUGACAGCCAACAUGUUGCUGAGUGUCUUCUUUCUGUCUGCAAUCUCAGCCAAUGAGAAGCCAAGGAGCGACGGCAUCCAGCAGCACUGCUGUGUGAUUGGUGCAGAGGUGGAUUCUAGGGGAAUUUUUGAGAGGAAAAGUUGCCACAUGGUGCAAAGUGAAUCCAAGUGAAUAUAUAUAGUAAGGACGCACAGAACACACUGCUGCCUCAGCACAGGAGCAAGAACCAAUAGAACCAGUUGACACAAAAUAUGAUCAUUUUGUAAAAAAGUAAAAUAAAACACUUUUUGAAAAUGUUUUUUUUGUUAGUUAAGAAUUAAAUAACUGUCUAAUAAGAUAAAGUAACAUUUGAAUUUGGCAGUAAUAAUGUUAAUGUUAAACUAUCCCACAGUGUGCACCGGGGACCCCUAGACUCGCCUUAGCUUCAGUCAUUAGAGAUAUUCCACAGAAGUAAAAGAAAAACAGAAAUGUGUUAUUCUUAUGAAAUCAUAGAAAAAUGAAAUGUAAGAUUAUUAUUUGUCCUUUAGGUUGACAGAUUUGGGGACACCAGA
This 785-nucleotide long non-coding RNA is filed under the name Cottoperca gobio. RNAcentral's name for it is "lncRNA (ENSCGOG00000006088.1)". Lineage: Eukaryota; Metazoa; Chordata; Actinopteri; Perciformes; Bovichtidae. The record is from RNAcentral.